This 636-nucleotide long non-coding RNA is filed under the name Dromaius novaehollandiae (emu). RNAcentral describes it as "lncRNA (ENSDNVG00000010195.1)". The record is from RNAcentral. Lineage: Eukaryota; Metazoa; Chordata; Aves; Casuariiformes; Dromaiidae.
CAUCCUUCCUUGCUUGGGCAGGGCCCACUUAUUUAAAGGGUGCCRGAGGGCUGGCCCUACCACCCCGGGGAGAGCCGUGCCGAGGACAGCGAUCAGGGCUGCUGCUGGGAGAGGCUGYGGGUCCUCUCUGCUCACCAAACCGGAGCUCCAGGGCGGUGAGAGGAUGUCGGCCCCCCACCCAGGACCGCACGGAGGGCCACCACCGCCACACCCUGGGCCUGGCAAGCCAGGGGGCCCGGGACACUCGCCCGCACAUCAUGGUCAGCCAGGUUCUCAUGUGACGGGUCCCCAAGCACCAGGUCCCAACACAAAGAGUCCUCACCCAUCAGGUCCCAACCCGUCGGGUCCACCGCAUGGACAUCACYGAUAGGCACUGAAACACCAUGAAAACCUGCUUGCUUUGGCAUGUGUCCAUCUUUAUCAGCUGCCAGCUCAUCUCGCACUUCCAGGAGCAGUUGGGGAGAGAUGUUGCCUGCUGUCCUGCCGCUCCCCCUUCUCUGCGGGCUGCUCAGCUGCCUGCGGGAAGCAUCACCUCCAUCUGAUCUGUGCACAACCUUGUAAGAGUCUCUGCCAGAAACGGAGGCUUACAGCUUUUUCUUUUCAAUAAAAGUCCAUUUAACACCUCUGCUUGGGCCA